GUUCAAGAUCGUCUCUCAGCUCUGGAGUCACGAGUUCAGCAACAGGAGGACGAGAUCACUGUGCUGAAGGCAGCGCUGGCUGAUGUUUUGAGGCGUCUUGCAAUCUCUGAAGAUCAUGUAGCCUCAGUGAAAAAGUCCAUGCCAAGUAAAGGCCAACCAAGUCUUCGAGAAGCUAUUUCUAUGUCCUGUAUAACCAAUGGAAGUGGUAUAAACAGAAAACAGAACCAUACCAGCUCUAUAUCGAUAGCAAGAAAAGAAACUCUUUCUUCAGCUGCUAAAAGUGGUACAGAAAAAAAGAAAGAAAAGCCACAAGGACAGAGAGAAAAAAAAGAGGAAUCUCAUUCUAAUGAUCAGAGCCCACAAAUCCGAGCAUCACCUUCUCCCCAGCCCUCUUCACAGCCUCUCCAAAUAAACAGACAAACUCCAGAGAGCAAGAGUUC
This 440-nucleotide long non-coding RNA is filed under the name Rattus norvegicus (Norway rat). Its description in RNAcentral is "long non-coding RNA NONRATT023991". The record is from RNAcentral. Lineage: Eukaryota; Metazoa; Chordata; Mammalia; Rodentia; Muridae.